Molecule: small nuclear RNA, 121 nt
Organism: Eriocheir sinensis (Chinese mitten crab)
Lineage: Eukaryota; Metazoa; Arthropoda; Malacostraca; Decapoda; Varunidae
Product: U11 spliceosomal RNA
Exons: 1
Source: RefSeq, a predicted model, not a curated record
UAAAAGGGUGCCCGCCGUACAUGUGGCGCGCGGUUCGCCGUGGGGGAUGGCUAUCAAGACAUACCCGGCACGUAAUAUUUGGACACCGAGGGAAGUUCGAUGCUUAGGCUCGGACGCCCUC